RNAcentral lists this long non-coding RNA (525 nucleotides) under Gossypium raimondii (Peruvian cotton). RNAcentral describes it as "long non-coding RNA (GRAI_LNC000014)". Lineage: Eukaryota; Viridiplantae; Streptophyta; Magnoliopsida; Malvales; Malvaceae. The record is from RNAcentral.
GGGGUUUUUGAGUGUUGGCUUCACCCGGCUCGUUACCGGACUCAACCGUGUAAAGAUGGGUCGGGUUGUCGUCGUCGGGUUUGUUUCUUUGCUCAUACUCCUGACCAGCUCCGUCUCGUAAGCUCUACUGAUACUUACGACGGUUCACCUUGUGGUAAAACGCUGACGUUUUGGUCUUCACCUGGUUCUGGCUCACCUCCGGUUAGUCCCCGUGCCGAGUCUUGCUCUUCACCUCCGGUCUCGCCGAUGGCUCAGUCGCUAAGCCGUUCUCUCGGUUCGGCUUCCAUUAACGAGAUGGUGACCUCUUUAAGGAACUUACAGCUAGGAAAAGGCAAGUCCUGGAAGACCCAAGUUGGCUGUUGCUCCCCUUCGUCACCUUCCAGUUUCGGAUCCCCCAGAGCAGCAAUGAUCCGACCCGGUUUCUGCAGCUUACCCAGUACUCCGACCCGAAACUUAACCCGUCCAGGUAUCAGCUACCCGGAUUCAUGGGAUAAAGCGUGUGAAGAAGAACCGGUAAUGGAACGG